This 253-nucleotide ribosomal RNA is filed under the name uncultured bacterium. RNAcentral's name for it is "partial 16S ribosomal RNA". It matches the Rfam family "Bacterial small subunit ribosomal RNA", at positions 524 to 776 of the family's 1533-position model. The record is from RNAcentral.
UACAGAGGGUGCAAGCGUUGUUCGGAAUUAUUGGGCGUAAAGGGCGCGUAGGCGGCGCAACAAGUCACUUGUGAAAUCUCCGGGCUUAACCCGGAGCGGCCAAGUGAUACUGUCGUGCUAGAGUGCGGAAGGGGCUACUGGAAUUCUCGGUGUAGCGGUGAAAUGCGUAGAUAUCGAGAGGAACACCUGCGGCGAAGGCGGGUAGCUGGGCCGACACUGACGCUGAGGCGCGAAAGCCAGGGGAGCGAACGGG